AUGGCAGUCCCAGGUUGCAACAAGGACAGUGUCAGAGCAGGCUGUAAAAAAUAUGGCUUCCUGGUCACCUGACUUUUGAAUGCUGCAACUUUCUCCAAGUAGACCCCAAAGGGACAUAGUUUUGGAUGUCAGCAGUGCAAACAGUGAAGAUUGAUGAAUAAAAUGAAGAAUGAAUAAAUUGCAAGCAUUACUGGAAAAAAAGAAUAAAUGAAGAGGAGAAGAAAAAGCAAAGAGAAAAGCAAUUUUUUUAAAAAAGGAAAAGGUCUUAUUCAUCCAGUUCCACUGAAAAGGACAUUUCAAAAGAAACAAAAAUAUCAGAACAAAGAAAAGAAAAAAAA
This 338-nucleotide long non-coding RNA is filed under the name Homo sapiens (human). RNAcentral's name for it is "non-protein coding lnc-TMEM14A-3:1". The record is from RNAcentral. Lineage: Eukaryota; Metazoa; Chordata; Mammalia; Primates; Hominidae.